AGAACGAACGCUGGCGGCAGGCCUAACACAUGCAAGUCGAACGCUCGUAGCAAUACGGGAGUGGCGCACGGGUGAGUAACGCGUGGGCACCUGCCCGGUGGUUUGGGAUAACCGUGGGAAACUGCGGCUAAUACCGGAUACGCCCCUAGGGGGAAAGAUUUAUCGCCAUCGGAUGGGCCCGCGUAGGAUUAGCUAGUUGGUGAGGUAACGGCUCACCAAGGCUACGAUCCUUAGCUGGUCUGAGAGGAUGAUCAGCCACACUGGGACUGAGACACGGCCCAGACUCCUACGGGAGGCAGCAGUGGGGAAUAUUGGACAAUGGGGGCAACCCUGAUCCAGCCAUGCGCGUGAGUGAAGAAGGCCUUCGGGUUGUAAAGCUCUUUUGCGGGGACGAUGAUGACGGUACCCGCAGAAUAAGCCCGCGUAACUUACGUGCCAGCAGCCGC
RNAcentral lists this ribosomal RNA (446 nucleotides) under uncultured soil bacterium. RNAcentral describes it as "bacterial SSU rRNA". It matches the Rfam family "Bacterial small subunit ribosomal RNA", at positions 26 to 518 of the family's 1533-position model. The record is from RNAcentral.